GACGCCAGUCUGCAUGGAGCCGACCUUGAAAUACCACCCUUUAAUGUUUGAUGUUCUAACGUUGACCCGUAAUCCGGGUUGCGGACAGUGUCUGGUGGGUAGUUUGACUGGGGCGGUCUCCUCCUAAAGAGUAACGGAGGAGCACGAAGGUUGGCUAAUCCUGGUCGGACAUCAGGAGGUUAGUGCAAUGGCAUAAGCCAGCUUGACUGCGAGCGUGACGGCGCGAGCAGGUGCGAAAGCAGGUCAUAGUGAUCCGGUGGUUCUGAAUGGAAGGGCCAUCGCUCAACGGAUAAAAGGUACUCCGGGGAUAACAGGCUGAUACCGCCCAAGAGUUCAUAUCGACGGCGGUGUUUGGCACCUCGAUGUCGGCUCAUCACAUCCUGGGGCUGAAGUAGGUCCCAAGGGUAUGGCUGUUCGCCAUUUAAAGUGGUACGCGAGCUGGGUUUAGAACGUCGUGAGACAGUUCGGUCCCUAUCUGCCGUGGGCGCUGGAGAACUGAGGGGGGCUGCUCCUAGUACGAGAGGACCGGAGUGGACGCAUCACUGGUGUUCGGGUUGUCAUGCCAAUGGCACUGCCCGGUAGCUAAAUGCGGAAGAGAUAAGUGCUGAAAGCAUCUAAGCACGAAACUUGCC
Molecule: ribosomal RNA, 632 nt
Filed under: Escherichia coli
Lineage: Bacteria; Pseudomonadati; Pseudomonadota; Gammaproteobacteria; Enterobacterales; Enterobacteriaceae
Description: partial 23S ribosomal RNA
Rfam family: Bacterial large subunit ribosomal RNA
Source: RNAcentral